Molecule: ribosomal RNA, 544 nt
Filed under: Salmonella enterica
Lineage: Bacteria; Pseudomonadati; Pseudomonadota; Gammaproteobacteria; Enterobacterales; Enterobacteriaceae
Description: bacterial SSU rRNA
Rfam family: Bacterial small subunit ribosomal RNA
Source: RNAcentral
AAAUUGAAGAGUUUGAUCAUGGCUCAGAUUGAACGCUGGCGGCAGGCCUAACACAUGCAAGUCGAACGGUAGCACAGAGAGCUUGCUCUCGGGUGACGAGUGGCGGACGGGUGAGUAAUGUCUGGGAAACUGCCUGAUGGAGGGGGAUAACUACUGGAAACGGUGGCUAAUACCGCAUAACGUCGCAAGACCAAAGAGGGGGACCUUCGGGCCUCUUGCCAUCAGAUGUGCCCAGAUGGGAUUAGCUUGUUGGUGAGGUAACGGCUCACCAAGGCGACGAUCCCUAGCUGGUCUGAGAGGAUGACCAGCCACACUGGAACUGAGACACGGUCCAGACUCCUACGGGAGGCAGCAGUGGGGAAUAUUGCACAAUGGGCGCAAGCCUGAUGCAGCCAUGCCGCGUGUAUGAAGAAGGCCUUCGGGUUGUAAAGUACUUUCAGCGGGGAGGAAGGUGUUGUGGUUAAUAACCGCAGCAAUUGACGUUACCCGCAGAAGAAGCACCGGCUAACUCCGUGCCAGCAGCCGCGGUAAUACGGAGGGUGCA